Molecule: ribosomal RNA, 250 nt
Filed under: uncultured bacterium
Lineage: Bacteria
Description: partial 16S ribosomal RNA
Rfam family: Bacterial small subunit ribosomal RNA
Source: RNAcentral
UUGAAAAGUUAGUGGCGGACGGGUGAGUAACGCGUGGGUAACCUGCCUUGUACUGGGGGACAACAGUUGGAAACGACUGCUAAUACCGCAUAAGCGCACAGUACCGCAUGGUACGGUGUGAAAAACUCCGGUGGUAUGAGAUGGACCCGCGUCUGAUUAGGUAGUUGGUGGGGUAACGGCCUACCAAGCCGACGAUCAGUAGCCGACCUGAGAGGGUGACCGGCCACAUUGGGACUGAGACACGGCCCAA